AACGAACGCUGGCGGCAGGCCUAACACAUGCAAGUCGAACGCCGUAGCAAUACGGAGUGGCAGACGGGUGAGUAACACGUGGGAACGUACCCUUCGGUUCGGAAUAACUCAGGGAAACUUGAGCUAAUACCGGAUACGUCCGAGAGGAGAAAGAUUUAUCGCCGAGGGAUCGGCCCGCGUCUGAUUAGCUUGUUGGUGAGGUAACGGCUCACCAAGGCGACGAUCAGUAGCUGGUCNGAGAGGAUGAUCAGCCACAUUGGGACUGAGACACGGCCCAAACUCCUACGGGAGGCAGCAGUGGGGAAUAUUGGACAAUGGGCGCAAGCCUGAUCCAGCCAUGCCGCGUGAGUGAUGAAGGCCCUAGGGUUGUAAAGCUCUUUUACCUGGGAAGAUAAUGACUGUACCAGGAGAAUAAGCCCCGGCUAACUUCGUGCCAGCCGCCGCUGUAAC
Molecule: ribosomal RNA, 450 nt
Filed under: uncultured bacterium
Lineage: Bacteria
Description: bacterial SSU rRNA
Rfam family: Bacterial small subunit ribosomal RNA
Source: RNAcentral